This 161-nucleotide ribosomal RNA is filed under the name uncultured bacterium. RNAcentral's name for it is "partial 16S ribosomal RNA". It matches the Rfam family "Bacterial small subunit ribosomal RNA", at positions 1340 to 1500 of the family's 1533-position model. The record is from RNAcentral.
AAUCGCAGAUCAGCAUGCUGUGGUGAGUACGUUCCCGGGCCUUGUACACACCGCCCGUCACACCAUGGGAGUCGGUAACACCCAAAGUUGGUAGUCUAACCGCAAGGAGGACGCCGCCUAAGGUGGGAUUGAUGACUGGGGUGAAGUCGUAACAAGGUAAC